AGGUUGCCUUUCCAAGUUUGAAGACAUUAGAAAUCAAUUGCUUGGGCAAUCUCGGGUUUAUGUUUUCCCGUUCCAUGGUUAAAUCUCUUGCACAACCGAGAGAGCUAAGGGUUAGCCAUUGCGAGAAGAUGGAGGCGAUUAUUAUGGGGGAAGAAGGAUUGGGAGUGGAAAUAUCAGAAAUUUUGGCAUUCCCGAUGUUAAUUGAUUUACGCUUGGAAUGCCUGAAAAGUCUGACGUGCUUCUCUCGCAAAAAAUGUUCACAAGAAGGUCGGAGUCGGGACCGUGUCCAAUUAUGCUCCAGUGUCCUCUUCAAUCGAGAGGUUGCCUUUCCAAGUUUGGAGACAUUAGA
Rhodamnia argentea is the source of this 349-nucleotide long non-coding RNA. RefSeq lists it as uncharacterized. The record is from RefSeq and is a predicted model, not a curated record. The transcript is spliced from 3 exons. NCBI's taxonomy places the organism in Eukaryota, Viridiplantae, Streptophyta, Magnoliopsida, Myrtales, Myrtaceae.